This is a long non-coding RNA of Lemur catta (Ring-tailed lemur), 1725 nucleotides long. RefSeq lists it as uncharacterized. NCBI's taxonomy places the organism in Eukaryota, Metazoa, Chordata, Mammalia, Primates, Lemuridae. The transcript is spliced from 2 exons. The record is from RefSeq and is a predicted model, not a curated record.
GUAGCUAGGCUGAUGCCAUGGCACUCUACCCCAGAUGACAGAAUGAGACUCUGUCUCUUUUUUCUUUAAUAAUUAAACCCAAAAGGUAGCUGUAGUAAGAAGGGUGACGUGGCAGGAGACUCUGUCUCAAAAAAAAAAAAAAAAAAAAGAAUUCAGUGAUGAUAAGUUGAAGCACUUAAUGUGAGAACUCCAUUAAUUCUACUCCUGUUAGGAAAGUUAAUUUCAGGAAAUAUUAUUUGAAAAGAAAACCAAACAAAACCUUAAAAGGUACUUUAAUCAGUCUUGUGCUGAGACUAUAAAGAAUUCAUUCUGACAUUCUUAUUUCUUGAGGCUACAUCAUUAGCUGGAGUGUGAUGGUGUACUCGUGUGCAGUUGUUUCCUCUCACCUGCCAGAAGUUCACUGUUAGGAGGCCUGUGAGGGGUCAGCUGGAAGAAUGCUGGUUUAUCCUUCAGUUUGUACAGUGGGUGCUGGUGAUGAGUUUGGGGGUACUUCAGCUCUGUAAGCAGCCAGCAUUCUUCCAGCCCUUAAUCACGUGAACUUACCUGCUUCUGCACUCACGGAAGGUAGCCUGUUUGGAUAGUAGCUGGUAGACGUUGCCUGUUUUAUUGGGGAGUUGAUUGGAACUCUUGAAAUAGCAUCAACAUUUGCGUGCUCUGAUUCUUUGAUCAGAGAUGGUGUGGCAUUCAUGGCUUUUCCACCCAGUCCCUUGGUCGCCUUCAAACGUAAUUGAAAGUGCUGCUCCAAUUACUGAAAGAUGAUUGUCAUUCCACGUAGCAUAAUGUGCCACAAGGAGUUUUCUCAUUCCUAGUCUUUGGACUUCAUAACAUUGGAAUUGUUUUUUCAUAAUUUCCAACAUUCCAUAAAUAUUUGUCCAGGACAAAGAAAAGGAAUGCGGAUCUUUACUCUUUUCAUAUAAAUAACUUUGUACACAUGACUUCCUGCUUUCAUUAUGAAGAAGAAACUAGCUCCCUUGUAUGGUAACUCCAAAAUUAAAAGAUGGUGCAUGUCUAAGGGGUUGAAUAUAUUUUGUAAAACUCUAAACACAUUUGUAUUUCUGUGCUGUUGUAAAGUUUACCUUUUUACUUAUAUUAAUUAAAGAUAUAGAAACUAUAUAUUUAAAUCAUGUAAAUGGAACACAAUUUAGGGUUUUUUUCCAAUCUUAUUUUUCAUCAGCUUCUCACACAUAGUAUGCUGCUCAAAUUUUUUGUGUGUGCAAUAUAAACAUUUGAACAUGUCAGUCAGGUACUGAGCCAGAAAAGGUCAUUGAAGUUUUCAGAAAGCUUCUGUCCUUAGAAAAUAUUUGGUUGUUUUCUUGAAAUAUUAGUAUUUUAUAGCUGGAAAAAUAAGAUCAAGACAUGUUUUUCAGGCCACUUGGUCAUUGGUUCCUAAAUUUAGGAAACAUUUGAUUAAUGAGUUGGUGAAGGCAUUUAGUGGUUACAAAAGUAGUUUAAAUAUUUGAGAUUAAAGGCUUUUCACAAACCCUCAAAAUUUAGCUUAGAAAACUUAGAAAGUUUUCUAAAGAAGUUUAGCUGUGGCACGUUUUGAUCAGAAAGGUAGUUUCUCUUUGCUCUGGUAGUUUUAAAGUUUGUACUAGUUCUUUGUUGUCAUUUGUUUAAAAAGAAAUAUUAAAAUUAUAAAUCACAUCUAAUUAUACUGAAUUGUAAAACUUCUAUUGUAAUUUUAUUUUAGAAAAAUGAGAAUAAAAUUAUCCCAUUUGUCCUGCA